UAUUAGUAUACAAUGUGUACAAUGGAAUUAAACUGAAAUUAAAAUCAAAUUAUAGGCAAUUUAUUAAUUCUCAAUAUUUGCUAAUUUAAAAUUUGAAAUAAAUUAGGAUUGCGUCUGUUAUAGGAAAACAAAAACCAAUAUCCUCUCUCUCUAAUAAGUGUUUUCACUCAAUAACGAAGACCUCCUCUCCCUCAACGGAGGCACCUCAUUCUCUCCCUUUCUCAUCCUUUCUCACCGGGAGAUGUUUCGAGUGACGCCGUCGUCCACACCGGCGAACGCCCAGUAGCGCUUGCCGAUCCUGUGGGUCUUUCUCGCAGCACCGCAUCAACCCAGACCUAGAAUGACCCCGUCGCAGCUGGCGUGUGCCUUCCUCCGGACGUUGACGGCGCAAGAGAAAGGGAUCACAAGUGUUUGUCCUUUGAUACGUCCAUCACCGCAUGGACGUUCUUAAAUGGAGUGCCCUGUCAUUCAACCGCCGUGUCAUAUUCCAUCUCUCGUCGGUGAUCACAAUUCAUUGAAGCCACAUGAAAACGCUCCCAACCAUUUCGUCGCCGAGAGUGAGCAAUCUAAUAAGGUUGCCAACUGAUGUUAAUCACAAGAGGAAGGCAACCGAGAGAGAAACAUUUUCGAAUGAGUCAGAAAGCCAAGUUACUCUACCGUGAUCCCAGUUUUGACUUAUCUUUCUUGUAACAAGGAAAAGUAGAACUUGAAAGUUGAAACUAAUUUAAUGCAGUUAUAGUUUGUGCAGUUUCAGUGUAGAUUAGAGAAGUGGAAAAAAAAGUAGGAUCCUAGUUGAAUCCCCCCAAGAUCAAAUCAUAUAAUGUAGAAUUUGACUCUUUUUUUAGAUUUUGGCAAGCUUCAGAUUCAAAUUUUUUUAGCUCUACCUCAUUUUGGGGUAAACAGGCUUGGGGAUUGAGGAAUGUUUUAAGUUAUUAUGAACCAUACUUUAGUAAUCUACAAAAAUCAAAAGGAUUCUUAGUUUAUUUUUUAUUGUUGCAUAUUCAUGUUGAUAUUUUGGUGUCCUUUUACUUUAAUCUAGAAUAUGCCUCAGUCAUUCAACCUUUGAUUUUAAUUUUGUCUAUGUCAAGAAGAAAUUAUUUAUCUC
This is a non-coding RNA of Arachis ipaensis, 1105 nucleotides long. The record is from RefSeq and is a predicted model, not a curated record. Lineage: Eukaryota; Viridiplantae; Streptophyta; Magnoliopsida; Fabales; Fabaceae.